This 436-nucleotide ribosomal RNA is filed under the name uncultured bacterium. RNAcentral describes it as "partial 16S ribosomal RNA". It matches the Rfam family "Bacterial small subunit ribosomal RNA", at positions 29 to 507 of the family's 1533-position model. The record is from RNAcentral.
AGCGAACGCUGGCGGCAGGCUUAACACAUGCAAGUCGAGCGGGCAUCCUUGUGGUGUCAGCGGCAGACGGGUGAGUAACGCGUGGGAACGUGCCCUUCGGUUCGGAAUAACUCAGGGAAACUUGAGCUAUACCGGAAAAGGUCGAAGGCCGGAAGGUUUAUCUGCCGGAGGAUCGGCCCGCGUCUGAUUAGCUAGUUGGUGAGGUUAUGGCUCACCAAGGCGACGAUCAGUAGCUGGUCUGAGAGGAUGAUCAGCCACACUGGGACUGAGACACGGCCCAGACUCCUACGGGAGGCAGCAGUGGGGAAUAUUGGACAAUGGGGGCAACCCUGAUCCAGCCAUGCCGCGUGAGUGAUGACGGCCUUAGGGUUGUAAAGCUCUUUUCUCCGGGACGAUAAUGACGGUACCGGAGGAAUAAGCCCCGGCUAACUUCGUG